GUUGAAAAAAUGAAUGGAAGUAUAUAAGGAGACUGUUUAGUGCCAAAACAAUAAGGGGUUAAAUAUAUGUUUUAAAAAAUGAAGAAUAGUAAUAAUGUUUCCUGUUUCUUAUAUCUCACAGAUAUAUGACAGACACUUCAGAACAAACUUCCUUUUGAUUUUUGGGUGGACUAUCUGUUGUUCCAUGUAGUAAAUCUGUUAUUCAAUGUGUUUGUAAGGGCUAAUAGCCCUUAGACUCAUGGGUUAAAGGGUUGUGUUUGUUCACUGAGCUAACAUGUCUACAUGUGCAUUGUUAUCAGGAGUUAUGUAGAGGUGUUAUGAGGAGUUAUGUAGAGGUGUUAUGAGGAGUUAUGUAGAGGUGUUAUGAGGAGUUAUGUAGAGGUGUUAUGAGGAGUUAUGUAGAGGUGUUAUCAGGAGUUAUGUAGAGGUGUUAUCAGGAGUUAUGUAGAGGUGUUAUGAGGAGUUAUGUAGAGGUGUUAUGAGGAGUUAUGUAGAGGUGUUAUGAGGAGUUAUGUAGAGGUGUUAUGAGGAGUUAUGUAGAGGUGUUAUCAGGAGUUAUGUAGAGGUGUUAUGAGGAGUUAUGUAGAGGUGUUAUCAGGAGUUAUGUAGAGGUGUUAUGAGGAGUUAUGUAGAGGUGUUAUGAGGAGUUAUGUAGAGGUGUUAUGAGGAGUUAUGUAGAGGUGUUAUGAGGAGUUAUGUAGAGGUGUUAUCAGGAGUUAUGUAGAGGUGUUAUCAGGAGUUAUGUAGAGGUGUUAUGAGGAGUUAUGUAGAGGUGUUAUCAGGAGUUAUGUAGAGGUGUUAUGAGGAGUUAUGUAGAGGUGUUAUCAGGAGUUAUGUAGAGGUGUUAUCAGGAGUUAUGUAGAGGUGUUAUGAGGAGUUAUGUAGAGGUGUUAUCAGGAGUUAUGUAGAGGUGUUAUCAGGAGUUAUGUAGAGGUGUUAUGAGGAGUUAUGUAGAGGUGUUAUCAGGAGUUAUGUAGAGGUGUUAUGAGGAGUUAUGUAGAGGUGUUAUCAGGAGUUAUGUAGAGGUGUUAUGAGGAGUUAUGUAGAGGUGUUAUCAGGAGUUAUGUAGAGGUGUUAUGAGGAGUUAUGUAGAGGUGUUAUCAGGAGUUAUGUAGAGGUGUUAUGAGGAGUUAUGUAGAGGUGUUAUGAGGAGUUAUGUAGAGGUGUUAUGAGGAGUUAUGUAGAGGUGUUAUGAGGAGUUAUGUAGAGGUGUUAUCAGGAGUUAUGUAGAGGUGUUAUGAGGAGUUAUGUAGAGGUGUUAUGAGGAGUUAUGUAGAGGUGUUAUGAGGAGUUAAGUAGAGGUGUUAUGAGGAGUUAUGUAGAGGUGUUAUGAGGAGUUAUGUAGAGGUGUUAUCAGGAGUUAUGUAGAGGUGUUAUGAGGAGUUAUGUAGAGGUGUUAUCAGGAGUUAUGUAGAGGUGUUAUGAGGAGUUAUGUAGAGGUGUUAUGAGGAGUUAUGUAGAGGUGUUAUGAGGAGUUAUGUAGAGGUGUUAUGAGGAGUUAUGUAGAGGUGUUAUCAGGAGUUAUGUAGAGGUGUUAUCAGGAGUUAUGUAGAGGUGUUAUCAGGAGUUAUGUAGAGGUGUUAUGAGGAGUUAUGUAGAGGUGUUAUCAGGAGUUAUGUAGAGGUGUUAUCAGGAGUUAUGUAGAGGUGUUAUGAGGAGUUAUGUAGAGGUGUUAUCAGGAGUUAUGUAGAGGUGUUAUGUAGAGGUGUUAUCAGGAGUUAUGUAGAGGUGUUAUGAGGAGUUAUGUAGAGGUGUUAUCAGGAGUUAUGUAGAGGUGUUAUGUAGAGGUGUUAUCAGGAGUUAUGUAGAGGUGUUAUGUAGAGGUGUUAUGAGGAGUUAUGUAGAGGUGUUAUCAGGAGUUAUGUAGAGGUGUUAUCAGGAGUUAUGUAGAGGUGUUAUGAGGAGUUAUGUAGAGGUGUUAUGAGGAGUUAUGUAGAGGUGUUAUCAGGAGUUAUGUAGAGGUGUUAUCAGGAGUUAUGUAGAGGUGUUAUGUAGAGGUGUUAUCAGGAGUUAUGUAGAGGUGUUAUGAGGAGUUAUGUAGAGGUGUUAUCAGGAGUUAUGUAGAGGUGUUAUCAGGAGUUAUGUAGAGGUGUUAUGAGGAGUUAUGUAGAGGUGUUAUCAGGAGAUAUGUAGAGGUGUUAUCAGGAGUUAUGUAGAGGUGUUAUCAGGAGUUAUGUAGAGGUGUUAUCAGGAGUUAUGUAGAGGUGUUAUCAGGAGUUAUGUAGAGGUGUUAUCAGGAGUUAUGUAGAGGUGUUAUCAGGAGUUAUGUAGAGGUGUUAUGAGGAGUUAUGUAGAGGUGUUAUGUAGAGGUGUUAUCAGGAGUUAUGUAGAGGUGUUAUGAGGAGUUAUGUAGAGGUGUUAUGUAGAGGUGUUAUCAGGAGUUAUGUAGAGGUGUUAUGAGGAGUUAUGUAGAGGAGUUAUGUAGAGGUGUUAUCAGGAGUUAUGUAGAGGUGUUAUCAGGAGUUAUGUAGAGGUGUUAUGUAGAGGUGUUAUCAGGAGUUAUGUAGAGGUGUUAUGAGGAGUUAUGUAGAGGUGUUAUCAGGAGUUAUGUAGAGGUGUUAUGUAGAGGUGUUAUCAGGAGUUAUGUAGAGGUGUUAUGAGGAGUUAUGUAGAGGUGUUAUCAGGAGUUAUGUAGAGGUGUUAUCAGGAGUUAUGUAGAGGUGUUAUGAGGAGUUAUGUAGAGGUGUUAUGAGGAGUUAUGUAGAGGUGUUAUGAGGAGUUAUGUAGAGGUGUUAUCAGGAGUUAUGUAGAGGUGUUAUCAGGAGUUAUGUAGAGGUGUUAUGUAGAGGUGUUAUCAGGAGUUAUGUAGAGGUGUUAUGAGGAGUUAUGUAGAGGUGUUAUCAGGAGUUAUGUAGAGGUGUUAUCAGGAGUUAUGUAGAGGUGUUAUGAGGAGUUAUGUAGAGGUGUUAUCAGGAGUUAUGUAGAGGUGUUAUCAGGAGUUAUGUAGAGGUGUUAUCAGGAGUUAUGUAGAGGUGUUAUCAGGAGUUAUGUAGAGGUGUUAUCAGGAGUUAUGUAGAGGUGUUAUCAGGAGUUAUGUAGAGGUGUUAUCAGGAGUUAUGUAGAGGUGUUAUGAGGAGUUAUGUAGAGGUGUUAUGUAGAGGUGUUAUCAGGAGUUAUGUAGAGGUGUUAUGAGGAGUUAUGUAGAGGUGUUAUGUAGAGGUGUUAUCAGGAGUUAUGUAGAGGUGUUAUGAGGAGUUAUGUAGAGGAGUUAUGUAGAGGUGUUAUCAGGAGUUAUGUAGAGGUGUUAUCAGGAGUUAUGUAGAGGUGUUAUGUAGAGGUGUUAUCAGGAGUUAUGUAGAGGUGUUAUCAGGAGUUAUGUAGAGGUGUUAUGAGGAGUUAUGUAGAGGUGUUAUCAGGAGUUAUGUAGAGGUGUUAUGUAGAGGUGUUAUCAGGAGUUAUGUAGAGGUGUUAUGUAGAGGUGUUAUCAGGAGUUAUGUAGAGGUGUUAUGAGGAGUUAUGUAGAGGUGUUAUCAGGAGUUAUGUAGAGGUGUUAUCAGGAGUUAUGUAGAGGUGUUAUGAGGAGUUAUGUAGAGGUGUUAUCAGGAGUUAUGUAGAGGUGUUAUCAGGAGUUAUGUAGAGGUGUUAUCAGGAGUUAUGUAGAGGUGUUAUCAGGAGUUAUGUAGAGGUGUUAUCAGGAGUUAUGUAGAGGUGUUAUCAGGAGUUAUGUAGAGGUGUUAUGAGGAGUUAUGUAGAGGUGUUAUCAGGAGUUAUGUAGAGGUGUUAUCAGGAGUUAUGUAGAGGUGUUAUCAGGAGUUAUGUAGAGGUGUUAUCAGGAGUUAUGUAGAGGUGUUAUGAGGAGUUAUGUAGAGGUGUUAUGUAGAGGUGUUAUCAGGAGUUAUGUAGAGGUGUUAUGAGGAGUUAUGUAGAGGUGUUAUGUAGAGGUGUUAUCAGGAGUUAUGUAGAGGUGUUAUGAGGAGUUAUGUAGAGGUGUUAUGUAGAGGUGUUAUCAGGAGUUAUGUAGAGGUGUUAUGAGGAGUUAUGUAGAGGUGUUAUGUAGAGGUGUUAUCAGGAGUUAUGUAGAGGUGUUAUGAGGAGUUAUGUAGAGGAGUUAUGUAGAGGUGUUAUCAGGAGUUAUGUAGAGGUGUUAUGUAGAGGUGUUAUCAGGAGUUAUGUAGAGGUGUUAUGAGGAGUUAUGUAGAGGUGUUAUCAGGAGUUAUGUAGAGGUGUUAUCAGGAGUUAUGUAGAGGUGUUAUGAGGAGUUAUGUAGAGGUGUUAUCAGGAGUUAUGUAGAGGUGUUAUCAGGAGUUAUGUAGAGGUGUUAUCAGGAGUUAUGUAGAGGUGUUAUCAGGAGUUAUGUAGAGGUGUUAUCAGGAGUUAUGUAGAGGUGUUAUCAGGAGUUAUGUAGAGGUGUUAUGAGGAGUUAUGUAGAGGUGUUAUGUAGAGGUGUUAUCAGGAGUUAUGUAGAGGUGUUAUCAGGAGUUAUGUAGAGGUGUUAUCAGGAGUUAUGUAGAGGUGUUAUCAGGAGUUAUGUAGAGGUGUUAUGAGUAGUUAUGUAGAGGUGUUAUGUAGAGGUGUUAUCAGGACUUAUGUAGAGGUGUUAUGAGGAGUUAUGUAGAGGUGUUAUGUAGAGGUGUUAUCAGGAGUUAUGUAGAGGUGUUAUGAGGAGUUAUGUAGAGGAGUUAUGUAGAGGUGUUAUCAGGAGUUAUGUAGAGGUGUUAUGAGGAGUUAUGUAGAGGUGUUAUCAGGAGUUAUGUAGAGGUGUUAUCAGGAGUUAUGUAGAGGUGUUAUGAGGAGUUAUGUAGAGGUGUUAUGUAGAGGUGUUAUCAGGAGUUAUGUAGAGGUGUUAUGAGGAGUUAUGUAGAGGAGUUAUGUAGAGGUGUUAUCAGGAGUUAUGUAGAGGUGUUAUCAGGAGUUAUGUAGAGGUGUUAUGUAGAGGUGUUAUCAGGAGUUAUGUAGAGGUGUUAUGAGGAGUUAUGUAGAGGUGUUAUCAGGAGUUAUGUAGAGGUGUUAUCAGGAGUUAUGUAGAGGUGUUAUCAGGAGUUAUGUAGAGGUGUUAUCAGGAGUUAUGUAGAGGUGUUAUCAGGAGUUAUGUAGAGGUGUUAUGAGGAGUUAUGUAGAGGUGUUAUGUAGAGGUGUUAUCAGGAGUUAUGUAGAGGUGUUAUCAGGAGUUAUGUAGAGGUGUUAUCAGGAGUUAUGUAGAGGUGUUAUCAGGAGUUAUGUAGAGGUGUUAUGAGGAGUUAUGUAGAGGUGUUAUGUAGAGGUGUUAUCAGGAGUUAUGUAGAGGUGUUAUGAGGAGUUAUGUAGAGGUGUUAUGUAGAGGUGUUAUCAGGAGUUAUCUAGAGGUGUUAUGAGGAGUUAUGUAGAGGAGUUAUGUAGAGGUGUUAUCAGGAGUUAUGUAGAGGUGUUAUGAGGAGUUAUGUAGAGGUGUUAUGUAGAGGUGUUAUCAUGAGUUAUGUAGAGGUGUUAUCAGGAGUUAUGUAGAGGUGUUAUCAGGAGUUAUGUAGAGGUGUUAUGAGAAGUUAUGUAGAGGUGUUAUGUAGAGGUGUUAUCAGGAGUUAUCUAGAGGUGUUAUGAGGAGUUAUGUAGAGGAGUUAUGUAGAGGUGUUAUCAGGAGUUAUGUAGAGGUGUUAUCAGGAGUUAUGUAGAGGUGUUAUGAGAAGUUAUGUAGAGGUGUUAUGUAGAGGUGUUAUCAGGAGUUAUCUAGAGGUGUUAUGAGGAGUUAUGUAGAGGAGUUAUGUAGAGGUGUUAUCAGGAGUUAUGUAGAGGUGUUAUGAGGAGUUAUGUAGAGGUGUUAUGUAGAGGUGUUAUCAGGAGUUAUGUAGAGGUGUUAUCAGGAGUUAUGUAGAGGUGUUAUCAGGAGUUAUGUAGAGGUGUUAUCAGGAGUUAUGUAGAGGUGUUAUGUAGAGGUGUUAUCAGGAGUUAUGUAGAGGUGUUAUGAGGAGUUAUGUAGAGGUGUUAUCAGGAGUUAUGUAGAGGUGUUAUCAGGAGUUAUGUAGAGGUGUUAUCAGGAGUUAUGUAGAGGUGUUAUCAGGAGUUAUGUAGAGGUGUUAUCAGGAGUUAUGUAGAGGUGUUAUCAG
This is a long non-coding RNA of Oncorhynchus keta (chum salmon), 6017 nucleotides long. RefSeq lists it as uncharacterized. NCBI's taxonomy places the organism in Eukaryota, Metazoa, Chordata, Actinopteri, Salmoniformes, Salmonidae. The transcript is spliced from 7 exons. The record is from RefSeq and is a predicted model, not a curated record.